This is a long non-coding RNA of Pan troglodytes (chimpanzee), 2531 nucleotides long. The record is from Ensembl. NCBI's taxonomy places the organism in Eukaryota, Metazoa, Chordata, Mammalia, Primates, Hominidae.
CUAAUUUAUGUUGUUCAGUCAUUUCUCAUCUCUCCUCCCUCCCCCAUUCUUUACGUCCUUUCGGUAGAGCUGACUCUACCCCAGCACUGUGGCUUACGCUGGAUCGACCAGAGUGUUGCUUUCUUCAUAUGGUCUAUUGAGACAAUAAAACCUCAGCCGAAAUUGUUGGAAGAGACCCAUCACAUCCCUCAUUGCUACCUGGGGACAGAGAGUGGAAUAAAAGUUGGUCCUGCUGCAGCAACUUGCAUCAAUGAAGAGAGAGUCAAACUAAGAAGAGCUGUUAAAUCAAGUGAGGAGGAAAACCUUGAGACCCUGAGACUUUCAGAAACUUCUUCACAGUUACCAAAGCUGAAAAUGUUCAUGGCAGGGAGUGGGACAUCCGGCUUCAGAGCAGGAACUUUCGUUGCACCAGUGAUGAAAAAGAGAAUGAAAUGUGGGUGAUGUUGAGAAAGGCAAGAAGAUUUUUGUUCAGAAGUGUGCCCAGUGCCUAAAAGAGAGGCAAGCACAAGACUGGGCCUAAUCUCCAUGGUCUCUUUGGGCUGAAGACUGGUCAGGCCAUUGGAUUCUCUUACAAAGACGCCAGUAAGAACAAAGGGAUCACCUGGGGAGAGGAUACAGUGAUGGAGCAUUUGCAGAAUCCCAAGAACUACAUCCCUGGAACAAAAAUGAUCUUUGCUGGCAUUAAGAAGAAGGCAGAAAGGGCAGACUUGAUAGCUUAUCUCAAAAAAAGCUACUCAUGAGUAAUAAUUGGCCACUGCCUUAUUUAUUACAAAACAGAAAUAUCUCAUGACUUUUCUGUGUGUACCAUACUUUAAUAGAUCUCAUACACCAGAAUUCAGAUCAUGAAUGACUGACAGAAUAUUUUACUGGGCACUCCUGAUUUAAAACUAAGACUGGCUUGUGGUUAAAUGAAUAUGUUCAGUUUUUGAAUUUUAAUAGUAAUUCCAAUUCAGUAAAUGCUGUCACUGUUUACCCCUUCUAAAGAUAUGAUUAGACUUCACUGGUAAUGUUCAACUUUUCACAAAGAUGGUGACUGCCAUCUUAAAACUUACUGGAUAUUGGUUUAUAUUUAGAUUUCUAUAACUGGUUAUGUGAAUAUAUUUAAAUACUGGGGAAAUUCCUUCACUGUCUCAGAACCAAGCAAGAUUCAUCUGUGUUUUGUGUUCAUUUGCCUCUUAAAGGCAAGGGUUGAAGAUAAAUAAGGUAGCAAUGUCUACUUUAAAUUUUUGGCCUUAACUAUGCCAAUCUAAUUAGAAUUCUCUGCAUUUAAAAUGGUUCUUUUUACUUACUGAAGGGCAUUUUAGUGUGGUUUAUGUGUAAUAUCAAAGAUUAUUUAACAUUUCUCACAUUUUAUAGAUGAUCUAUAAGGUCACAUGCUUUUAAUAUAGUAACAAGUUAAACUUCACUCUUGAAUUCUUUACAAUCUAAGUCAAACUAAGUUAUAAUUUAAGAUUGUCUUUAAACAGCCAUUCAGAUACAUAAAACUGUGGAACUGCUCUGUAUUUGUGAUUGUGGAUAGUGCUUUUGCCAGCUUAAAAGAAUUAAAGUAGAGGAGAUGUACAUAAGUUUUAAAAUUAUGUGUGAUCGUAAGACUUAAGAUAAUUAAAAAGAAAUUCACAGAUCAUGACAAAAACAUGUUCAUGGCAAAGAAAAGACAUAUUCUAAGUAGAUUAAUAAUUACAGAUGUGUCAAAUAUACAGUUCUAGGAUUUAUGAUGUAGUCAUUAAGUUCAUCAAAUACUAUAAUGAAAUAUGUAAUUUAAUUUAAAUAAUAUUUAGAAAUUAUAUCCAUAUAUUCAGCAAGUAAUUAUUAAGUGUAUUUAUGUGCCAGAUACCAUUCUAGGUGCCUGGGAUGCAUCAGUGAACAGAAUACAUCUAGUGCUGCAUGAGGGAGCUUCCUUUUUAGCGAAGGAGGACAUUAGACACAGAUGUAUAAAUGAGUCAUUGAACAAGAUAAUUGCAGGCAGAGAUGGAUUCUAUGAAAGAAAUAAAUCAGGGUGAUGAGAGGGAAAGUGACAGAGAGACAGCUUUAGGUUGGAGGCUAAAGUGAGGCCUUUGAAGAAAUGACAAUUCAUGUGUGACUUGAAUGACAAGAUAAAAUGUAGAGAGUUAGAGGCUGAGGAUUACAGGCCAAGGAAAUAGCCCCGUGCGUAUGUUGUGAGACAUAGCUCCAAGACAUAGACAUGCAUAGUUUAAUUCAACUUGACUCUUCCAGAAAUGAAUUGAAGGUCACUAGGCCUGGAGUAUCAGGAAGCAGAGGAGAAGUUGUGAGAGAAGAGUUUGAAGUGAGAUGCCUGUGUCAUUUAAUGAAGCAAAUCACAUGAAAAAUAUCACUGGCAUUUUUUAUUAUACGACUUAUUUAAAAAUAGCAAUAAAAUUUACUUCCUACUUUAUCCUAAGGUUCUGAAGACCUUUCAAUGGUAUUCUUGGAGGAGACUUUACAAUUUUGGUGUGUAUCAUGAUUGUAAAGAUACCCUGAUAUCUUUAUAAAAUAGAAGUAAAUUUAGAAAUUAAAAAAAAACAAAACUUUCC